This is a ribosomal RNA of 154 nucleotides. It matches the Rfam family "5.8S ribosomal RNA". Rfam says of the family: 5.8S ribosomal RNA (5.8S rRNA) is a component of the large subunit of the eukaryotic ribosome. It is transcribed by RNA polymerase I as part of the 45S precursor that also contains 18S and 28S rRNA. Functionally, it is thought that 5.8S rRNA may be involved in ribosome translocation. The record is from Ensembl.
AACCCUUAGGAGUGGAUCACUUGGCUGGUGCGUCGAUGAAGAAUGCAGCUAGCUGUGAGAGCUAAUGUGAACUGCAGGACACAUUGAUCAUCGACACUUUGAACGCACCUUGAGGCCCCAGGUUCCUCCUGGGGCUAUGCCUGUCUGAGGGUCG